GCUUGCCUGCUGAUCAGGGUGUGCUCUGUGGGGCUUCUUCACCAACACAGAGAGUCUGAGCAAAUUCCCAGGACACCAGAUUGUUGUCCAAAGAAAGUCCUAUGCCAGACCCAAAGCCCAGGGCAGGGCAGUACACGCUGCCCACCAGCAGGCCAUGGCAAAGGUGUUUAUGCACAUCACUGUGGGAGACUGAAGAACGGGUACCAGGGAUCAAUCGGCCACCAUGUAAAGUCUGAGAGAAAGAUGCCCCAGCUAUUCUUAAGACUUUCA
This 270-nucleotide long non-coding RNA is filed under the name Homo sapiens (human). Its description in RNAcentral is "HSALNT0184438". Lineage: Eukaryota; Metazoa; Chordata; Mammalia; Primates; Hominidae. The record is from RNAcentral.